Molecule: ribosomal RNA, 263 nt
Filed under: Escherichia coli
Lineage: Bacteria; Pseudomonadati; Pseudomonadota; Gammaproteobacteria; Enterobacterales; Enterobacteriaceae
Description: partial 23S ribosomal RNA
Rfam family: Bacterial large subunit ribosomal RNA
Source: RNAcentral
CGUACCCCAAACCGACACAGGUGGUCAGGUAGAGAAUACCAAGGCGCUUGAGAGAACUCGGGUGAAGGAACUAGGCAAAAUGGUGCCGUAACUUCGGGAGAAGGCACGCUGAUAUGUAGGUGAAGCGACUUGCUCGUGGAGCUGAAAUCAGUCGAAGAUACCAGCUGGCUGCAACUGUUUAUUAAAAACACAGCACUGUGCAAACACGAAAGUGGACGUAUACGGUGUGACGCCUGCCCGGUGCCGGAAGGUUAAUUGAUGGG